This 399-nucleotide ribosomal RNA is filed under the name uncultured bacterium. Its description in RNAcentral is "bacterial SSU rRNA". It matches the Rfam family "Bacterial small subunit ribosomal RNA", at positions 358 to 773 of the family's 1533-position model. The record is from RNAcentral.
GGAAUAUUGCUUAAUGGGCGAAAGCCUGAAGCAGCAACGCCGCGUGGACGAAGAAGGCCUUCGGGUUGUAAAGUUCUUUUAUAUGGGAUGAGGAAGGACAGUACCAUAUGAAUAAGUCUCGGCUAACUACGUGCCAGCAGCCGCGGUAAAACGUAGGAGACGAGCGUUAUCCGGAUUUACUGGGCGUAAAGAGCGUGUAGGAGGCAAUACAAGUUGGAUGUAAAAGCUCUCGGCUAAACUGAGAGAGGACGUUCAAGACUGUAGAGCUAGAGGAAGGCAGAGGUAGAUGGAACUCCGGGAGUAGUGGUGAAAUGCGUAGAUAUCCGGAAGAACACCAGAGGCGAAAGCGAUCUACUGGGCCUUAACAGACACUGAGACGCGAAAGCCAGGGUAGCAAAC